Chenopodium quinoa (quinoa) is the source of this 5372-nucleotide long non-coding RNA. RefSeq lists it as uncharacterized. NCBI's taxonomy places the organism in Eukaryota, Viridiplantae, Streptophyta, Magnoliopsida, Caryophyllales, Amaranthaceae. The transcript is spliced from 5 exons. The record is from RefSeq and is a predicted model, not a curated record.
UACACAACUCUCACUUUACUCUAUUUUUUUUUUCGUUUUUAAAAAAAAGAAAUACUCGAAUAGUCGUAUUCUUCCACCUAUCUCAUCAAACUUAAUCAGCCCAUUUAUUCACAAACCACCCUCAAUUUUUCAUUCUCCGCUGACCUCAAUUUUUCAUACUCCGCUGAAAUCCUCUGAAGCUCCUUCUAAAUUCAAUCAUCGAAAAAUAUCAUCAAGUUGCAAAGUCAGGUUUAAUUUCAUAGUAACCUGGGGUUAACGAACAUUAUCCUUUAGAGAAGUCGGCUGGCGAGAGAUUCGAGCGCAAGAGCGCAAGUCUUGAAGAUCCUAGAUGGCCUAGCAACAAAUGUAGUUUCUCACGCAUAUUGGGAGGGCCAAGAGGACUACGAGUUACUACGAGGAGCAUGGACUGUGAGUUACUACAGAAUGUGCUUAUAAUGUAAUCAGAUAUGUGUACGAUAUAGUCUCUUUCCAUGCAUAAAGAAUGCAAGGGUAAUUUGUGAAAGGAGUAUUUGACAAGAGAUGCAGCCUACAAUGAUGUAGAAUCGCCCAAGGUUCAGAAACAAUAAUUGGCUAAGUUUUUUAGAUUAAAUUUGUUAUCGUAAGACUAAAUCUUUGUUGAUAUUGUAAUUAAUUGCAUUUACUUAGCUCAUUAAAACAAUAUGAGUAUGACAUUUCUUAUUUCUAUCUAGUCUCGUUUAUAUUUAUUCCUGUUUAUUAUUAUUACUUUCUAAAUUUAUAAGCAAAUUCUUUUUUUAUAAUGUUCCAGAUCUAACCUGACAACCCGUAUCCAGGAUCUGUGAAGACCUUAUUGUCCAGCUAAGUACCUACAUAGGAAAUAAGGAUUAGCUAACCCCGGGUUGGCUUCGGGGAUAACCACUCUGAUGGUAAAGUCAGAAAGUAUUUUAGAAAAAGAAGAGAAAGUAUUAAGGAAGAGAAUAAGAGAGAGAGAGAGAGAGAGAGAGAGAGAGAGAGAGAGAAAGAGAGAGUGAGAGAGAGCAUUUAUUGUUACCUUUGUUUAAAGAGUUGGAUUGGUUAUUUAUAGUAGAAUGUUCUCCCAAGUGGCUGCAUGCCAUGCAAACAAUGUACAUGCCAAGUGUUGGUUAUCCCACGCCACGUGGUGUGCGCAGAUUAACCAUGGCCCUUACAGUUAUGAGUGAAUACCGAUAUGAGCAUUCUGUUGUACGGUUGUAACCCGACCUAUUUCCAAAAGAGUUAAUAUCGGCCCAUGUCCCUUAUCGGUAUCAUCCCAUACAACUAACCCCCCAAGUGAGGACGUCUAUACAACUGAUGUUCUCACUUAUUCACAAGUUGUCCUUAGCAGGGAAUUUUGAUUAGAAUUCCUUCAUUUCUUCCUUAGGAGACUGAGUUCUCAUUUGAUUUCAAUCAUUUCUACUUUUAGGAGACCAAGUCCGCUUUUGAAUUCAUUCAUUUCAACCUUUGGGGACUUAGUUUUGAUUGGAACCAAAGUAUUUCAAUAUUAGUGAUUUUCUCUACUUUAUUUCCAGGGUGGGAGCAAAAAAUCUUCGAUUUGCUCCCCAAGUGAGCUUGUAUGCUGAUAGCAAAUAAGCUCUACUUUAUACUUAGGUUGGGAGCAAAAAACGUCUGACUUGCUCGAGCGGAAUACUAAACGUUAUAAAUUUUUUUCUUAUUUCCUUUUCUUUUCUUUAUUUUUUUUAAGGCGGGAAGUUUGACUAGUCAAGGGACACGUGUCGUAGAUUCGGCCAAAUAGUUUUGAAUUUACAAAAUUUCUCGACCCUUGGAUUUCUGACCGACCCAUCACAUCACCCGUCUUCUUUUAAAUCUAUAAAAACUAUAUUUCCUUCCCCUUUUUCCUUUUCAUGUUCCUUAAAAACCUCUCGAAAUCACACUUAAGCGAAUUCGAAGCGUUUCUAUGUAAGCUUAACAACGACUAUCAAGCGUUCUCAAGUGCAGCGGGAUUGGAGUUCGGCACUUUUUCUACUUUUAAGGGCGUUUUUUGAUAGAAAAUUCGAAGGUAUUCACGAACCUUAACUUUAAUUUUUCAUGUUUUGAUUUUUACGAUUUUAGCGUAGUUGGCAUUCAUAAAUGUCUGAUUGUAGUUUUGAAGAGGAACAAACCACCCUUAGUAUUGUUAGGCGUCGCCUUAUUAGGCAAUCUGUGGGUAAAGAUAUCAGUAAAGUUCAAGACACAACGUCGUCUCUUUCUGAUAACAUUGACGAUCCGUUUUAGCCGCUAACUGCUAAAGAACAAAAGCAAGCCUCUUACCGUCAUAAGGUUAUAGCUGAUUGUGAAAGAUCUUGCCGACCUAACAAUCCUGAUUUACCCGACGACAUUGAGGUCCUUGACGUCGAGCUAGUUAGCGUCCGAUAUCACCUACGCAGCUUCGCAGAUAAGCUAAACCUUGAUCAAUACGGCUCUAACAUUAGUCAUAUCGGGGUUAGAACCACCACGAUGCCAAGGGUUAAACAGACUAGUUACCAGCCACAUGUUGCCCUUAACGCUUCUCCUGAUAAAGCUGAACCUAGGAAAAGGCCCGGUAAAGCACAGGUGGUCAGUUCUGAUGAGUCAGAAUCUGAAGAUCGUGAGGUAAGCCAAAAUGGCGACAGGCGGUCCAAAUCUCCUGUGCAUGAAUCUGUCGUCAACUCCGUUCUCGGCGAUGAGGAAGAUGGCGGUGAGGAGGUAAACCAAAACGAAGGCAGGAAUGUUGGGAAGGAGGAAGAUAUUAUGGAUUUGUUGUCGCAAGUUACAAAAGAGGAAGGCCUAGAUGAAGUCUAUAACUCCGAGGAGGACGAUGCGGAGUACCGACAUCCUAUUAAUAUUGAUUCUAACAGGAUAUGAAUUGAAUUGACCUUGAUGGUCAGGAGGACGAUGCAAUAAUAUGGAUAUGAAUUGACCUUGAUGGUCAGUAACGAUUCUAUCGGCUUCCUGAUGGAUAUGAAUUGACGAUGCGCAAGUCAUGAUGGUCAUGUUGCCAUUUACGCCAAGCAUCUUGAUUUCGGCCUCCGCUUCCCUAUUCAUCAUUUUAUUGUCAAGAUUCUGCGAGAACCUUUGUCUUGUACAACUCACCCCGCUGACUAUUCAGAACGUAGUAGCAGUUGUUUGGGUUAUGCUAUACAAGAAUUUUCCUUUAACCCUCAACUUGUUCAGGAGACUUCAUUGGCUAAAGCGGGAUGGCCAAUCUGAAGGAUGGUGGUCAAUUUACACAGCUUCUCACAAGUAUACCGUCCACCGCAAGCUAUCCAGUUGCGAAGGCUGGCAAGAAAAGUUUUUAUUUAUGCGUGUUCCAGACGACUUCCCAAUUAGAAGGACUUUCUACCGUCCUCACUCGCGUUUUGAUUCGAUUGACGGGAGAGGUCUUGGAGUUCAAGAACGCAGAGCCUGUGAUUAUUUUGGCAUAGAAGAGAUUGAACUUGACGAGGAUACUGUACAGAUAGUCCCUAGGGUGUGGCUGCUGAAUGUGAAAUAUAUUCUCAGCAACGCUCCUUUGUCUCAUAUCGGUCUCUGUACUACUGGUAGUUUUGGUAUUGCUCUUGUGUUUUGCAUAUAUGUUACUAAUAUUUUAUUUCUUAUCUCUGAUGUCGGAGAACCCCUUACUGCCUAUCGGUUUGUAUCCUGCUAUGUUUAUUCUUACCUAGUAUGACUUAUUUGGUGCAUGCGUUGACAAACUAGAUUGGAAAGUCCUAGGGCUAUCAGUUGACGAAAAAAGAGUUUUGAAAUGCUGCCCUUCUUCUCCCAAGCCUGCUUACGAUACACUUGCUACCUAUUGCAACCGAUCUUCUUCGCAAUCACGAAAUUCGAAGAGAAAAGCUGAGAGAACGACAGACGACAACGCCAGAAAAAGCUCUAGACGCAUUGUUUCACUUGCUAACAGACGUGGUGGAAUGAGUGGAGCCUCUGGUUCAAGGAAAGAAGAUGAGCAGGUCGCUAAGAGAGCGAAGACGAGUGAGGAGCAGUAGAAACAACAAGCUCCUCAGCACAAGGAUCAAGACCCUCAGCAGCAAACCCAGCCACAACAACAUGUACCACCUGAACUUCCUCUCCAGCCAUCAAAGAAAUCUGUGCCGGAAGGGGUUUUAGUGGAAGAUAUUGUAGAUUCUCCACUUCUCAUUCAGCCUACAACAACAGUUCACCCUGCGCCUUAAGCUAAGGCUCAUACUGGCUCUGAUGUGAGCACACUCGGUAUUGUAAACCAGGCAAACCAGUGGAUAGAGCAGCCAUUCGGUAAGAUUCCUGACGAGGUGGUAAAGAGGUUCACCGUUCCUGACGGCAGUUCCCGGGACCGAUGGCAACCAGAGCUGGAUGUAUGCCGCAAUGAAUCUAUCUUUACCGACGACCCACUUCAGGGCGGUAACUUGGGAUAACGGUUGCUUCGUAAUCUGGCAACUCCUAUUGAUAGGCCCGCUGGCCUUGUCGGCCUAGUUGCUUCACAACAUAUGCAUGAUUUAAUGAAGGCCAUUGCCUCCGGCACCGAGCUUGUCGAGAUGUAUCGGUGUUAUCAAGAGCAACACUAUCAGGCUUUGCUGAACCAGUAAACCAUAGAAACGGCUGUGAAGAAUGCAUAGAAGGCCCUUGACGGCAUUAGAGCGGUGAAAAAGAAGGAUGACGAGGAGCUAAAAGCUCUUAGGGAGAAGGCCGACAAGUUCAAAGCUGCUGAAGAUGAGAUUAAAUCCCUCUAUUAACAAUUGGAAGAAAAAUCCAAGGUUGCUGCUCGGCUGCCGGUGGUUCAAAAGGAACUCGAUGAUGUCAAGGGUACUGCCGGCCUUUUAGAGGAGAAAGUCCAAAAAAUGGAGGCUAACAAACCUGGCAUCCGGCAGAGAGCUGUCAGUCGGUACCUGAGGUGUGAUGACUUCAUAGAAAGACUUUAAAACCGUUACGACGGUGGGUGGAUUGCAGCUCAACGGUGUGUUGUUAAGGUUACUAGUUGGACGAAACCUGAUUGGGCGAAGGUCGAGGCAGCCUUCAACAACAAGGCUCAUGAGCAUGCUACUAGUUUUGAGCAACAACAAUUUUCUGAUGAGGUUCUCUUCAAUGCUGAUCCUAGUGAAGAUGACACUUUAGUGGACCCCAACCUUCUGAACUCUCCCAUACUUGAGGGAACGCAAGAACCUCAAGCUUGAAGGGGCGGGCAGUCAUCACCGAUAUCAUCAUGCGGCUCAUGUGUACUUGGGCCUUAUCAACAUUGAUGUUUUUGAAUUUUUUGUUUAGCGUAAAACUCUUUUUCUUUUGCUUGUGCUGUUUAUCGGCAUGUACCCUUUUUGUGGUGAUGCCUUUCGAAUGUAUAUUGUUACUUUAAUUAUCACUUUUCUACUUUGAUCAUGGUUACUGUCAUCAUUAUAUACAUCUUAAAAAUGAUGACGUCUUAAAAAUGACGCUUAUAUAACAAGAAUGUUUCA